This 484-nucleotide ribosomal RNA is filed under the name uncultured bacterium. RNAcentral describes it as "partial 16S ribosomal RNA". It matches the Rfam family "Bacterial small subunit ribosomal RNA", at positions 30 to 507 of the family's 1533-position model. The record is from RNAcentral.
AUUGAACGCUAGCGGGUUGCUUUACACAUGCAAGUCGAACGGCAGCGCGGACUUCGGUCUGGCGGCGAGUGGCGAACGGGUGAGUAAUGUAUCGGAACGUGCCCAGUAGCGGGGGAUAACUACGCGAAAGCGUAGCUAAUACCGCAUACGCCCUACGGGGGAAAGCAGGGGAUCGUAAGACCUUGCACUAUUGGAGCGGCCGAUAUCGGAUUAGCUAGUUGGUGAGGUAACGGCUCACCAAGGCGACGAUCCGUAGCUGGUUUGAGAGGACGACCAGCCACACUGGGACUGAGACACGGCCCAGACUCCUACGGGAGGCAGCAGUGGGGAAUUUUGGACAAUGGGGGCAACCCUGAUCCAGCCAUCCCGCGUGUGCGAUGAAGGCCUUCGGGUUGUAAAGCACUUUUGGCAGGAAAGAAACGUCGCGGGCUAAUACCCCGUGGAACUGACGGUACCUGCAGAAUAAGCACCGGCUAACUACGUG